Oncorhynchus masou masou (cherry salmon) is the source of this 431-nucleotide long non-coding RNA. RefSeq lists it as uncharacterized. The record is from RefSeq and is a predicted model, not a curated record. The transcript is spliced from 4 exons. Lineage: Eukaryota; Metazoa; Chordata; Actinopteri; Salmoniformes; Salmonidae.
GAGGCGGAAGCCGGAAGAAAAACAACAACCAGUUUGUUUCAUAUUCUGAGCUUCUUCUUUUUUAAAGAGCACUACUAUAUACAAUGGACGUGGUGGAGACCAAACUCCCAGGGUCCCCUGGGCCCAAAGGUAUCCAUGGGGACCAAGUAACGCAGACCCUGAGGGGGUGAAGCAGGAGGACUGUGGGCCCCUAACAACACCCCUAACAACGUACCUGAAUUUUGCCCAUGUGAAAACAGAAGAAGAGGAGGAAGAGAUAUGGGGUGUGGCUCACCCAAGUACAGGGUUCUUCAACGUCAAGAAGGAGGAAGAGGAAGAAGCCAUAGUAUAUCCUAUACAGACUAAUGACAACCCAAGCCCCACUUCUGACAUUACCAGUCAUAGUUCUGAUGACUCCAGCCCUGACAAUGGCCCUAGAGCCACCCCUGACA